RNAcentral lists this ribosomal RNA (501 nucleotides) under uncultured bacterium. RNAcentral describes it as "partial 16S ribosomal RNA". It matches the Rfam family "Bacterial small subunit ribosomal RNA", at positions 30 to 523 of the family's 1533-position model. The record is from RNAcentral.
AUUGAACGCUGGCGGCAUGCCUUACACGUGCAAGUCGAACGGCAGCACGGGUGCUUGCACCUGGUGGCGAGUGGCGAACGGGUGAGUAAUACAUCGGAACGUACCUUAUCGUGGGGGAUAACGCAGCGAAAGCUGUGCUAAUACCGCAUACGCCCUGAGGGGGAAAGCGGGGGAUCGCAAGACCUCGCGCGAUUAGAGCGGCCGAUGCCUGAUUAGCUUGUUGGUGGGGUAAAAGCCCACCAAGGCGACGAUCAGUAGCUGGUCUGAGAGGACGAUCAGCCACACUGGGACGGAGACACGGCACAGACUCCUACGGGAGGCAGCAGUGGGUAAUUUUGGACAAUGGAGGCAACCCUGAUCCAGCAAUGCCGCGUGAGUGAAGAAGGCCUUCGGGUUGUAAAGCUCUUUUGUCAGGGAGAAAACACCGGCUCUAACACAGUCCGGGAAUGACGGUACCUGAAGAAUAAGCACCGGCUAAUUACGUGCCAGCCGCCGCCGUAA